GAGAGAUUCAGUGCUGAUGACUGGCUGAAAGAUGAGAGUAGGGCACAGGAGAUUUGACUAGAGGUGGAAUCACAGAGAGAUGACUGUCUUCCCUGCAGAGACUCAAAUGGAAGAGACACUUUGACAGGGGAAUCAAGUUACUGCUUCAUGAAGCUGAUCUGGGGCAGUGUGUGCCUGUGUCCCAAAUUCCUGGUAAGGGGAGAGGAGUUAUGUAACUGGCACGAGGAAAUCAAAACUCCUGCUAUGCUGGGCUCACUCAAUAAAAAUGGUAUCAUGGGAAAAGACAUGCCAAAGUAGGCUUAAAUAAACAGCACAGAGGCAAUGGACCUGCAUGACAUAUGGAAGGGUUACAGGGAUGACACAGUAAUUUUAGUUGUGAUUUAAGAGUUUAAAGGAGUGAUGGCAGAUUAGGGGUAAAUCCAGAGUUCAUCUGUGUGUUACAAACAGCUGCUUUUUUUCAUUAGAGAGGUUUUUUCUUUUACUUUUGUUUUUCUCUAUCAAGUCUUAGCUGUCUGGUGUGAAAUCUGGCAGUGUGUGUUGGAUCAGAGCAUGUUCCCACUGAAACCCAGUGUAAAGGCUUCCAAAGGCUUGUCAGUUUUCCAGGGUCUAUCAAACUUCACAAAUAUUUAUCAAGUAGAUAAGCUUUUACAGCAACUCAUUCUAAACCAUUGAAGUUACUUCUUGGAAUAGAUAAAAUUUGUUAAGAAAAGAAACCCUCUUAAACUUUCCUAACAGAUAGCAGUCCAAUGAGAGCUAGCCUCCUAAAUACCCAGCAUAAAAGGGAAGAAUAGCAUGGCAUUUGAUUUCCUGAGUGCUAAGAAAUGAGCUAAGAACAACAAAUAUUGUCCCUGUUUGAUUUGAAAUGGAGCCAUGCACAUGCUGGCACUCCUUGCAGUUCUGCAGUGUUUUCCCACCAGUGCUGGAGCCUUUGCGCAGGCACUGUGUGUAUGUGUGCUUCUGUAGAUAUUUGGAGCUACCCAAAGAGGUUCACACUACUCACCUGUCCCCCAUUCCUGAUGUAAAUACAGAUGGGCUGCAGCUCCUUUCUGAAACCUGCUUGGUUUCAUUAGGUUUUUAAAGAAUUAUUCUGUUGUGUCUGAAAAACAGGAGCAAGACUAUAGACUACCUUAUAUUAUUCACGUGCAUGCUAUGUUUUGGCUUUCUCAGAACUUGAUGUAACAGAGGUACAUUUUCAUUGCUCAGAUCCCCCUCUGUUCCUCAAGCCUAAUAAAAGCCAUCUAUAAAUCAGCAAUGUAGUGCUUUCACAAUGCUGGGGCACACACAAGAGGGGUAUAAUGUACUUAGCAAAAGGCCAGACUAACUUGAAGGAAUUCCAAGCUAAACAGAGACCCUUUAACAACAAGUUUCCAUUGGGCUCUGACAAGGCUAGACCAGGAUGUGUGAAGGGCAAAAUAAUCUCUCAGCACUCAAUAGAAGCAGAAGAUCUAUAAACCGUGGAGGAUCAUUGGCAUUUCUUGCUCUUUGCCUCCCAUUUCUGGUCUGAAAAUUGUCAAGGCCCCAGCCUCUUCAGAGCCUCAUCACUGCAAAAAGGCACUCUUCUCUGGCAGUCUUAACUGUCUUUGGAACAGAAGGAUCCACUGCAAAUGCCCCUGGUGUCCCUCUGUGGUCAUAUGCUAUUAUGCGCUGAUUGCAGAGUUUUACUGGUCCCUGUGAAAAUGAGAAUAUGCCCACCUUUGUUAAAUGUCAGUGUUUUCAGAGAUGUGUAAAGAGAUAUCAGACAAUGUGGGGAGACAGGAAAGAUAAUGUUGCUUGCUUUUCCCUUUAGGAUUGGGAUAGCUGAGUUUCCCAGAGGUGUUCCCCUUUCUUCCACUGCUUGGAAUUGAAAACCAGGGCCAGUGACAAAGGCUUAGCUAUAGCAACAGUGCAGCUGGGAAUGCUCAUUACAAACAGGCUGUGUCAUUAUGGUGGUGUGGAAAAACUCUUCAGAACCUCUACUGCCUUUCAAGAACUCCUAACUUCCUUUCUUCCUUCCCUCCUCUUGGCAUGCUCUUGCAGUCUAUUGCUAGGAGGCCUUGUGCAUCCUGCUUUGUGUUUGUUCUCCUACUCCUGGCCCUUGGUUCUUCCAUUAGCUGUUUUCAAACAACCUAUCUUGCCAGUCUAAUACACACUAGACACCUCAUUUUAGAGAAGAAAUGAUCCCAGGUGCUUUUCUGGCUUGCUCUGUAAUAUAUUUUUCUUAAACAGCAGUUUGAUUUUUAAUCUUCCAAAAGUGAUGUAGCACUUGGAAGAGCAGCCUCAUUUGGGGCCUCCUUUACCUGCUGUUUCAUGUUCCUGUGAUGAGAAUUACAAGUAAAAUCACAUUUCAAAGUCCUUAAUCAUGGUCUGAAGGUUAAUACCAAGGGGUAACCCUCUGCGUUUCCCUCACAUCUCAGCAGGAAUACUUAGCUCCUGUGCAUGUCGCAAUUUCUGUGCCAUAGCAGCUAUUGCCUGGUUGUUACUGAAAUGACAAUAGAGAAUCACUUGGUUGGAGGUAAAGCUGAGCUGUGAUACGUGUUCAAUCUUAUCAGACCCAAGUGUGAGGCUAAGUUCCAACAAGAGUGAUGAUUUCAUCCUUUAGAUACAAAGCUAAAUAUUCCAAAUUUGUGAGGAUAAAAAGAAAGACAUCAUUUUGUAUGAUGGGAUGUUGUUGGUACUUUUUCUGUCUCCUACCUGAACUCAGGCACCUAAGGAUUAUAUUUUUCUUGGAGAGUCCUUUUUCUCAGCUGAAUUUACAGCAUCUAUGCUGAGCUCUUACGGCUUGAUCCAAAAUCUGCACAAAGAGAUAAAAUAUUUUCAGAAAACUUCUAUUUAACUUUAAUGCCCGGUGUCUUUUCAUGCAGAAUUUGCUGUGAUUUAGCAGUAUGACUACUGCAUAAUAUGCUAUAACUAGCAUAAUCUACCUAGCUUUGUAGAGAGAUGUAAUUAAAAGUAAAGACAAAAUUGCAUGGUAUUGGGAGAAAGAAAACAUAAUACACAAGAAGGCUGAGAAAACUUUGUUUCUUCUCCAUAAUAUUAGCUGGUUAUUAAGAAACAUAACUUCUCUAAAACCCCAGCCUUGGAUAGAAUCACUGCAACCUUACAGAACAAGACACACAUUACAGUAGGAUGUGUUGAAACACCCUUUUCUUUGUUUAUAUGUAGUAUCCCUGGGAAGAAACAAACAUGACCUUCAUUUACAAAUGAAUCAUUGAUUAAGCAACAGUUUAAAAAACAACAAAAAAAAGAGAAUAGCAAAAAGAAAGAAAAAGGCACAGCAGAUAUUUUGAUGACUAGUCAAACAGCAGACAGCAGAGUCUCUCUUGCCUGGUGUGCAUCAUUCCAAUGUCACUGUUGUCCCUCCAGAGGAUUGGUGUGGUUUGUAGAUGUACACAAAUAUUGGGGAUUGGCAGACUCUUAGAAAUACAGCCUCUCUCACCUCUUUGUUCUUAGUACCUCAUCAGCCAUGCUCAGCAGAGUAUAACGAGCCCUUUCGAUACCUUAAUUUCUCUUUUCCAUUUUAGGGUCUUCUUUUUAAGCCUUCUUUUGGUUUUGCUGUAAUGUGAUGCUAGUUCUUUUGUAAGUCAAAAUGUUGACAGGCAUAUGCUUGCUCUGUAGGUUUAGAGCUUGUGGGUGAAUAACGUGUGUGUGUGCCACAUUUAGCUUUGUGCUUUGCUGGAACAGUCUGUUCCAGCACAUGGGGGUUUUUUCUCCUAGACCUCACCUUUCUGCCCAUAUGAAAUGCAAGCUGCUUGCUAUUUCGUAUCACGCUCCUUUAUAAUGAGCUAAUUCUUUUCCUACACUGUCUUCCUCCUACUGUCCCACCUUUUCUAUAUCUCUGUAGAAUUCUUUAAGCAGGAAAUGGAAUCUCUUCAAGCCAAGUGCUGUGCUUGAUUGCUGCUGUUUAUUUAGGGUAGCUAUAGUGCUCUAGUGGCCCAGAGUCCCUGUAGAAGGCCAUGGAGACCAAGGUCAUGGUUCCCAGGGAACUGAGAGACAUUGAAUUUGUGUCCUAUGUUUUGAUGGCAAGCUCUGGAAGGAGAGCCUAGCCAUUUCUUAAUGUCUCUAUUUUCUUGCAAGCAAAAGCUGCAGUUGCCAUGGAUAUGUUUUGAGAUCUUAAAUGGAAGGGGAAGAGGUUGAGAAGGCACAUGCCAUGGUGCAGCCCGUGCACUUACACCACAGUCUCUUCAGGAGCUGCAGCCAAGUAGACCCAAACUCAGCAAUGUGAAGUCCAAACUCGUCUACUAAAUGGACAGAAGGAACCUGGACAAACAGCAAAGAAGGAAUGUGAUUAAUGAGUGCCAACCAGCCGUGAAUGCUGCUCAAGAAUCAGGAGUCAGUGCACCUGCUGCUCAGCAGCAGCACGCAAAGCUACUCCUGUAUCAGUGCUGUGUUGGGAGCAGACUCCAGUCCUUGAAACACACCCACUGUGUGCUGCUAUUGGAGCAGAGAGCAGUCAUGUAAAAAGAAACAGCACAUCUGAAUUUCCUCUCCAUAUUUAUAGUUCUGUUCAAGGUAACUCAACAUUUUUCCUAGAAAGGAACCAUCUUAAAACUAUUGGGUGGAAUAAGAAAAGUGCAUGGGUGCUUUCCAGAGUCAAGCCAUCUCCAGAUUCUAGCAUUGAUGUAGGAAUAGAUUUGGACUAAAAAUACCCAUUGAUUUCAUUUUUGGCAGGCAAAAAGCAGCUACUUGAGGGACAACAUAGGUAGUUUGGGCUCUUGAAGAAGUGCCUGCAGACUUGAUCUGGGAUUUAUGCAGCUGGCUAUACCAUCAGAGGUGUACACAUUACUGCAUUUUCCCCAGCAACACCAGACAGUAACACUUUUGGUGCUUAGUGCUCUUCUGUAACUAUGUUUAAAGUUGAUGUAGAAUGAAAAUGUUCCACGUGCCAUUGAUGACUCCUUGCUUUGGAGGGUGUUGUCUGCUAGGUCAGCUCAGGGCACUGGUUUCAGACGAGCCUGGAAGAUUUGUGUUUUAAUUCAGAAUUGUGCCUACUUUGGCACAAAUCAUGACAAGAGACAUGUUUCUGUUGGAGAAACACACAGUUCCUGGCAUACUCUCCUAAAACUAUGCUUGUGCUGAUCUUCCUUCUUUUCUUUUGUUACCAUGCAUAUUAGACAGACACUUGAAUCACCUGGCCUUGCACUCAUCAACCUAUCCUGGAAUCUUCCAGGAUUGUGGUGCUUUGGGAAGAAAAAAAUCACAUAGGGGUCCUAUAGACACCAUGUGUCCCUGUGUUCCUCUCUCUCCCCGUCUCCCGAGUCCUUCAUGAUAUGCUCGAGCCAUUGCUGCAGCAUCACCUGGUGCCCCAACCCCGCCAUCUCUCUGUGUCUCUGUGAUCUGUGCAGCCAAAGUGACAGCCAGGUGACAUCGGGGCUGGGUUCAUCCUGCAGCCACAGCUGGGGCAGCAUCUCCAGCACCAUCACUGCAUCCCAAAGGCAAGGGCCCCGGGAUCUGGGAAGGCUGAGGACCCUGACAGCUUGGGUACUGAGGACCCACAGAGACUCCCAGGACCAAGUCAUUUGGGGAUGUUAAGGAUCCCACUCCCUGGGGCAUCCACCUCUGAGGGCUCAAUGUGUGUCUGCUUAUAGACAAACAAUAUUGCAAAGAAAAAUGUCAUCUUAGUAAAUAUUUAUCUGGGUGCCACAUACAGUAUAAAUUUAAAUUGGCUCACUGUAUUCAGUAACAGGGUUUGCCAGCAAAUGGACAGUCUUUGUGUGAAAUUCAGUUCUAACAAUUAAGGAUCUGUCAGAUUUCCACCAGAUGAACAGUUAUUUAAUUGAGGAUAUAUGUCCUGUACUAUUUAAUACAUAAUAAAAUUUUUUUAAUGAAUAUGUGAGCUAAGAUUAAGGCUGCUAAUUUAAUCACUGACAGCAGAGUCUCUCAGUGUGGAAAAUAAUGCUUUUGCAUUGACACAUUAAUUGUUGCUAAUUUUUCUAUGCUGUUAUUUUACAUGCAAAGAUCAAAAAAACACCAUUUUCCUGGAGGCAGGAAUAAAACUGCAAAAGCUAUAGAGGAAGCUGGGCAGGGAGCUGUGGUACUGACUUUCUGACAGGAAACAAAAAGUAAUUUUGGAGAGGAGCAGAGUCUGUGACUUUUUAUUGGAAAAAUCAGUCAGGUGGAAAACUCUUGAUCAGUUAUCCCAGUUGCCUCAACUGGUUCUGAAUAUCUUAUUUCCCAAUACCCAGUACCAGUUCCAGGUUUCAGGGGGAGAACUGUGACUUCUUGCUGACCAGUCCUGCACUCCCAGCACACUGAUUUCUCCAAAACAGGUUGUAUGAUUUUGUAUGAGUGCUGCAUCUGCUGUAUGUUAGAUUAAUAUUGUGUGUACUGGUGUCAGGAGACAGAAAGAAUAAAUAGCCUCUAAGCAGACAGAAGGCUAUAUUUAGGUCUAAGCUGAGUAUGCCCUCUGCCUGCCAAAUGCAAAAAAUCCAAACCCUAGCGCCUCUUCAUUUCCUGCUGGAGACUUACAUACGGUUGUUUCCUCCUUGUGUUUUAAAACUUUCAGACAUGGUUACAGCCUUGUGUGAGGCAGCUGCUCUGUGACAGCCCCAAGACCACAUGGUGUGACUUCCACCAUGGGCCAUGGGGCACUAACACAGGCUCUCCCCUGGGGCCUCUCCUCAGCCCUGCCAUGGGCCAGAGCCCCACCUGAGUCCCUGCACCAGUGCUGCCAUAGAAAGCUGAUCCCAUCUUUGUGCAGCCAUGGCUCUGCCAAGCCCAGUUCCAUCCCCAGGGCCCUGCCCAGCCAUUCUGGGACUGUGGCUGAUCCUGGUUUCCUGCACCAAGCCUGAACCUGACCCCCACUCCUGGGGGUACAUCCUGGCCUGGACUUGUCCUAUCCCCAUGGCCAGGGAGUUGCUGGAGCUGCUCACAGGUUUCCCUGGUCCUUGGCCACAGUCCCCCUGGGAACACCCACUGCCUCUGUCAUUCACAGUGUCCAACUUCCAAACACCACCAGAGAAAGACCCCUUCCACCACCUCAGCUAAGAAAUAUUAAUCCAGAAAGGACAGAAAGGGCUAAAGUGUAUGCAAAGGCCGCCUAUGGUUCCUGCUUUAUGAUUUUUCACCAGGAGCACAGGACUCCCCUUUACAGAGGCAGUGUGUCUCUGGGAAGCAGCCUCUGUCAUGGUGGAAUAUAGAUGUUCCUGAGUUAGAUUUAAAUGAAAUGCAGUGGAUAUCACAGAGGAAUCCAGCUGUGAGACUCAGCAUGGGCUAAAUUUAUCCUGUUCUCUGCACUCUGCUGUACUCUGGUUUAGAAGUUUGAUAAAUGGUCCACAGGUCUGAAUAUUUCAGAAACAGCCUGGCAUUACUCCCAGGUUCAAAUAGGAUGUAAAGACUGCCAAAAGACAUUGGGAAAAGUAAAAGAGCUGCUUGUCACCAGCACUCAGAGGACUUUAGCCUUUCAAGAGGAGAUUCUGAGCUCCUGAUGAGAGCUGACUUUCAUAAACUGCAUUCUAGUUUUACAAUUGUAUUGCCAGGCUGGAUCUUUUUUGUUCCCAGAACUUCUGAAGUUGCUAAAGAAAUUUGUUAUUGAAAGCCUCUUUUUUUCUUCCCUUUUACCAAGACUGAUUCACCUCAAUAAUGCUGAGCCUGUGUACACUGUCAGGAGUAAGUUAUCAUGAAAUGGAGAAUCAGAGCAUACACCUUUGUGGGGAAGACAGUUGAAGAGAUAGGAGAGCAAUUUCCCCUUCUAGAUAUUGCUUCCUUCCCUGUGCAGACUAUGUGUAGAUACGAGUGUAAACCCACCUAAUCCAUAAAGCCAAACUGUUUGGAAACACAUUUUGUAGCAUGAAAGUCAGGUUGCCCAGGUCCCAUUUAAUGCCCAGCACAAAGUAAUGUUUCACGACCUGCUCUUUCAGAAAAGGAUGGUUUAUUUUAAAUGUUUCAGUACAGGACUAUGUCUCACUGUGCCAUCUGUGUUUUGAAUGCAGCAGGUUCUGUUGUGUAGCUACGCAUAUAUAUAUAGUGCAUAUGUAAGUGAGAGGAGCUAAGGGUGACUAUCUACCUGCCUCCACUUCUCAUUUCUAUGAACUAGACAGACAUCUGUAUCACUGCUUAACCUCAAGCUAAGAUUGGUGGCAUUAGGAGCUUUCUACACAAUUCACUACUGGAGGAGUAGCAAAGAGUUUUUCCAAAACCAAACGCUUAUUUCCAGUAUCCACCAGAAUACAGGUCUCCUGAAUGAACUGCAAAUUCAAAACUGACUAUGAAUGACCAAGGGAAUGAUAAAAGUUCUUUAGCCAGCCAGGUAAGGCACAGUCUUUGAUCUUGGACUGUAGUGAAAAUGCUGUUUUGAUUUAAUUGUCACUUAAAUGGGAAUAAAUCAGAAAUAACUCACGUAAAUCUUACAUCUGUACUUCACUUUCUGGUAAAUCUCAUAGGCUCAAUGGUGAUGUGAUCUAAUUUGAAAUGUCUUUGAGAAUUUAUUCAGAAUGAGUUUUACCAGAGUACUCUUUCUAUUUGAAAGGAGAAGGUAGGUUAAAAAAAAAUAAAAAAGGUAUUUUACAAGGAAAAUUCAAGGAAAGAACACUCAGCAUGAAGGUCUGGUUAGACACAUGGUAGUGUUUAAUCCUUACUGUUCCUACCCCUUCAGGCCAGGCUUGCAACACUGGGAACUUUUCAGUUCUUGCUCCUGGACCUACUGACUGCUAAGAGGACAGAGCUGUCCCAGCCUCCUCAUUUUGUCUUGGCUUAAUAAAUAACAGUGUAAAGGACAAGAUGCAGCAUAUGCCAAAAGUAUAUGCCUGUGGGCUCCAUAUGUCAUACAGCUGGAAGGCAGCUGUGUUACAGAAGUAAUAAGUAAUAUAGCCAAGAAACAACCAUUAUAAUCAGGUGUAGGGGCAGCCAAGUGAGUAAUACUGCCAGGAGGAAUGCCUACAGUACAGCAGUUGUGAAAUACUGAUUAAGAAGUCCUAAAGUGGCUACUUUCCCCUGACAAGUCAUUCCUGCUGAAGCAGGCAUGUUUCCAGGCUAAUAGUUUCUAAGUGCACUUUCAGGCUUAUGUGUUUUGGAUGUCUUUAGCUGAAGCUGGUUAGUUCUUCCUGUCUGUAUAUGCAAUGCCUCCUAUCAUAACCCAUCAUUUCAGCUUAUCAUCACACUCCUGGGAAUCUUGAGUUCCUUAACAGAACUGACUGAAAACCUCCCCUCAUGCAUCAUUUCCUGGACAAUUCAGUCAAACCCUACUAAGACAAGCUUUCUUAUGGUAAAAAGAACACUAGAUGUAUCAGCUGCUAUUUUUUUUUAUUUAUUUAUUUUAAUUAUUAUUAUUCUUUUUCUUUUCUUUUUCUUCAUCUCAUCCUUAUUGUAUGUGAAAGGUGAGGAUGAAAUCUGCCCCUGUCAGAUACUGGCUGCUGUUAAAAAUAGACAUGUCUCUGGUAAGAAAUCUUGGGAUGGGGUAUUGCUGGCAACCUGAUCAAACCUAUCACUUUGCAAUUUUUGCUUUCCUACUUUGUUUUUUUAUCCCCCAGUUACAUGAAUGCAUUGUUGCUCAGAGGUUUGUUACUUAUUUUAAACAAACUCUUCCAUACAGUAGUUCCAGCAACCUAGAAAUGAAGCAAGUUGUUCUGCAAAGGUCAACAAUUCAUAUUAUAUAUUCUAUUUAUAUUAUUUAGCCAGUGUUAGAGCUUUAUCCCAAUAUCAUUUGAUCAUUGUGGGAAAAGUCAUGUUAAUAAUAUAUAGGGUAAAACUGAAAACAGGACUUAAUAACAUUUCUUGUCUGCUUCAAAACAGCCUUAGGAUCUUGACAGCAUCUCAUUAGGUACAGGCAUAUUCAUGAUAUUGCUGUGGGCUCCUGAGAGUUAUUGUGCUGCACUCAAGGGUAUUACUGGUGGUAGUUCUGCCUGCAGUCUGCUCAGCCCCUUGCUACCAAAAGUGUUUGUCAGACUAAUUUUGUGAUGUAUGUGGCCUUUUGAGGUCUCCAGUUAAAAGAAGUGUUAAAGCUACAAGACAUUCUUAGCUGUUGACAGCUACAAGACAUUUUCCUAAUCAAAAGAAGUGAGUUCAGAGUGUGGUUGUUAUCGGUGCUCCUGUUCUUUUUUAAACUUUCUUACAGUAAUUGUGCCAAAUGUCACUCUUUGAAGAACAUAAAGGAGCUGAUCAAGUUAAAUUCCAAGAUUGCUUUGUCAUCAUAAAAGGGUAAGGAGUGACUGCAAAUAUUCUUUAUGAAAAACAAAUGGAGGGCUUAAGUUUCUUUCCCUGUUUUUUCUUGAGUGGAGUAAAUCCCAAUUUGUGGUGGCAGGUAUGAGAGGACAAGAAUCCUAGGCAACAAUCCAAGGGAGAAUGUAUCCCAGCACCUAAAAGUCAGAUAAUUGAGAGUUGGUUCCUUCUUGCACACUUGACAAUUAGUGAGGAAAGUCACUCUUUCCUCCAGCAGAAAAAUGUCCUUCUUUGCUUUACUGGCAUUUUCCUACUGGUGUUUGUCAAGUGUCUCUUCUGGAGCAUGAAUGACCCUUCAGCAGAGAGCUGCUAAUAUCUUCUACUCUGUGCAAUAAAAGCUAUUUGGCUUCACUUUUGAGGCUUCAGAGUGGAACUUUACAAGUUUUAAAGAAAUGUAUGUAUGUUGGUGUGCAUGUCAUACACACACACAGAGCUGUGUAUCUACAUAUAAGGGCAAACUCAUAGUUUAUUAAUGUUCUUGUGGCUGUAAAUACUGAUGAUAUCGGAAAAUGUAACAUGACCUUAUAAAAAAUAAUGUAUUAGCACAUGGUAAAGUGCAGGCUCCCAUUGUAACUCAGUUGCUAUUUGCUAAUUAACAAAAUUAACUUUCUCAGAGACAAAUGGGAAUUAUUGAGUUUUAACUGUUAUUUAGAUUUUUGGUUUUUAAAAAUUUCCAUGGCUAAUCUCUUCUUUAUAAGUAUCAGAUGUUCUUCAAGGUUAGCUUGUGUAAUGCAAUGAUUAGAGCAGCUGAAUUUUUUCGCUGGUGCUGAUGACUCCAAAUCUCCUGCACAUCUGCAGUGUGCACCUACUGCCCUGGAGCAGAGCUACCUGCAAUGGCCUGGCUUUCACUCACAGGUCACUGAAGGAUGGAAAGCCUCACCCUGCCUGCCUGUGUGAACUUGGCUGUUGAUCUACAUAGCAGCAGGACCUGGGGUUCCCUGCAAGUCGUAAGCCAUAUCUCAGGACUGGAAUUCCAGUUUCAUUGCCUGUACACACUUGGAGGUAAGUGACUGCAGUACACAAAGAUCAGAAUUUUUAUGCAUCUCAUUCUGUGAUUGUUGCUUUUACCUCCUAGUAUUUAAUUAUGGGAAAGCCUUUUUUCUGUCAUGCAUAUGCUAUAGUGCUUUCAGGUGCCUCCUUUGUGAAACAGCAUGAAACUUCCAGUGAAGUAGUACAUUUGUAUAUGUUAUGGAUUCUGCUGGAAAUAAGCACAUUUUCUGGAAGUCAUUCUCCAGGUAAGACACCAGAAUGUUAUACCUACUCUCUUUGUUCCUCCAUUUCCCAACUGCAUCCUGACAUAGCAGUGGGCUGAGUGAUCCAGGCUGAUCAGGAACCAGUUGCCAACCUCUGCUACAGGAUGGCCCUUCAGAUGAGCUCAGGAGUGACCAUUCACAGCAGGGCACUGUGGCAGAAGAGGUCACUGGCAGUUCUGAGCUGCCUUGGUGGCAAACGAAAACUCAGAGUGUCAUUUCAGUUACAAACCCUGCUUAGAAAACAAUUCUCAGCAGAUUGAGCUCACCAAGCACUCUAGAUUGAGACAGUAGAAAUAAUUUCUCUGACUUCCACUCCCAUUGCCAAGAGGAAUCAAGGCUUCUGGAGAACUCUGAAUUGAUCCAGAUACAGAGCUGGAGAGGCAGAGAAGGUGAAUGCUGCUGGCAGCAGGGCAGGCAGCCAGCAUGCUGUUCUCUUCCAGACUUUCAUGGCUGCACAGAGCAUAGCAUCUCCCUCUACCAUUUAGUAAAUUUAUGACAUCACCAGCUGUUACCAGGGAAACACAGAAACUACAGAUUUGGAUCUUGGCAGCUAGGUAAAGAGAAAAUAUCUUGCUCUUUUGGGGGUCAAAUAGGAAGGCUGAAAACAAAUUCCAGAACAACUUUGAAUUGGAACAAAAUUGAGGUAGAUCAAUAAUUCCAAACCAAACAAUUUACCUGCUAAAGUGACAGUGUGGUCCCUAUUAUAUUCCUCACAGAAGACAAUCAUAGGGGAUCAAGUGCAAGACAUGUAACUUCAUGCAGUUUAAACAUAUCAUUCAGACAUGAGACCACUGACAACUUCAGUUCUGAUCUGUGGAUUUAACAAGCUACUUUUAAGGAUGUGAUAUCCUCUGACCAAUGAUUUUUCAGAAAGUGCUGCCUCUUGAGAAAAUUUGCUGGUGUUUCACAUCAAAGAAAGUAGGUAGUGUUGAGUUUUGGUAAAAUGGUGUGCAAAUACCAUUACUGUUCUGACAAAGUAUGUGAUUUUAUAGCUUUUAAAAAUGCGGGGUUUGUGAGAACUGAUGUUUUCAGACAUUAAUUUUAUGACUUUUAGGUGCUUGAGAUUAUUGAAGUUAUGAAAAUCACAUUUUAGUCUUUUAGUAGCAUUAGCUGACAUUUUAUUUAUGUUGCAUGUUGAAAUGAGAACUCUGCUUUUUAAAUUAGUUAUUAUUUGAGUACUGAGUAGUUGAGACCCAGCCAAUAUGAGCUCUUGUGCAGGCCUGUUUGAUUUCAUUCACACUGCACAAGAUGUACGGGUGUGUACUUGAGUUACCCAGAAACAAAUGCAUCUUUGCAGCAGAUGGAGCAAGCUCAAGUGGGGACUCCAGCUGAACUCAAGCCUGGAAUUGUAACAGCUGCUUUGCCUCUAUUAAUGCCUGCAAAGCUAUGGGCUGUAUGACUGGAGAUCCCAGGUCAUACCUCUACCAGAAAGGCAGAGGUUGUUAUGCCCACUAGAUGUGCAGAAGAUCUGAGACAAUCUGUAUGGAAUGCUAAAGAUCUGUGGACUCAUCCUGUUUGGCUGUAUCUCCACUAAGGAGCAAAAUUAUGUAGGGAAAAAAUCCCUCUAAUGCUAAUCUGGUGUUAAAUAUAUCCAUGAUGAAGGUUCUUAUGUGGACAUUGAGCAUAUUUCUAGCACUGUUCCACAGCUCUUGUCUUAAAGUGCACAGGAACAAGUUUAAUCUGAUUUGUGUCCUCCACACCGAAACCCAGGCAAGAUCUGGUUGCCAAACAAGGAGUCUCUUUCCCGUUUUGUUGGUGGCCUUGGAUCCUAGAAUUUCUAUGUCACAAAGUAGUUUGCAUACAGUCUGGAUUUUGUUAUCUGCAACAUGGUUCAAUGUUCCCUGUUGUGCCUUGUUUCAGUGGGAUAAUGACCAAGGAAACUGCUGAGAUAUGGAUGGAUUGCCAGGGAUAUGUCAUGAGAAAGCUGUCCAGAGUCCUCUGCCCACAUGCUGUGAUGCUGGCUCACAUUUCCAAAGCAGGGAUGCACACAGAGGAGAUCAUUACUGCUCCAAAGAGCUUAGUUAUCUAUGCAAGUUCCUUUUUUAUCCUUUAAAGUGAGUCACUUGGAAAGGCUCCUUUUUUGGUCCUCUUUAGUUUGACUGCUGGUUCCUUUUGCUUGUAUGCCCAGCCAGAGCCCUGAGACUUGUGACUGGGCCUGCAAUGGCCACUGGGGCUGCUGUCAUGGUUUAUCUCUCUGGAGUGGUGAAAAUAUAAUUCUUCUCAAUUUUCUUUUCUUUAAAGGACAUCGAAGAUGUUUCGGACAAGGAAGGAAUGGAAUUAUUGGGAUAAUUCAUGGACAGCCAGGAUGGAGUUCCACCUGCAGACUUUCCAGUUGCAGAUUUGAACUGAAAUUCCCAUGAGAAGGAUGUUUUGUGUGGUCAUUUCAUGGUGUUUGCGGCCUCUGCCAUGGUUAUAGAACUCAGUGCACUCCUGUGGUCUCCACAUAUGUCUCCAGUUCCACUUUCCAAAUGCUGUGUCCACUGGAGCUACUCUUACAUCCACAGGGGAUCAGUAGGAAGUACUUUAGCCCUCUGCACACCUCACAUUGGCAUUUAGCAAAACAAAUCAAUAUGACAAGACUGCAUUAAUCAGACCAAUAGAUGAUACUUAUUAUUUUAUAUACACAGGCUCUUAUAAGUUACUACAGGGCACCUUCACAUUCUUGCUGAUGUCCUCCCUGUAUGUGGUGCACUGGAAGAGGAGGGGCAGUUUUAUAGGACAUACAGGGACAGCAAGACAAGGAGCUUCAACUGGAUGGAAGCCCUGUCCUCUGAAGAAGUUACUUGUGAAGAGCCAGAAAGAAAAUCAUUAAAUCUGGUAACUGCAUUGAUGUGAGUUUGUAACACAAAUGGACACAGCACAAUUCUCCCCAUUCCUUCUGGAUUGGCACUGUGUUGGGAAAGGUGAUAAAGAAAAUUUCUGCUGUGCUACUUAUAUUUAUGAUAGAUGAAAGCCUCUCUAAAAAUGACACCCUCUUGCUCUCUUUCAUGAUCUUCUGAUAUAUCUUGAUUGCUGACUAAGGUAGCAACAUGGAUAAUCAAGCUUUUAAAGGCCCUAUUUAAUAAAUCUUAUAACAACAUUAAGAGAAGCUAAGGUGUAUUCUUCUCUUACAGUGUACCAUUAAAAGAACUGGUAUCACAUUUUUCCUGUAAAAUAGCUCCUAAAAAUUAUCUGAGCUGACUUUGAAGCUCCAGUAGGAUGACCAUGCAAACCUUCCUGCUUCCUUCUUUAGAAAGAAAAGGGACACUGCAUGAGAGACACUUUUCAAAGUAUUCCUCACCAUUAGCCUAGUGCUGAGGGAUUUGGUGCCCUGCAGCUAGGAAAACUCAGAAGUGUCAUGCAGAAAAGGGACUCAGGCCAGUCCUGAGUUGCUAAGUUCCUCUAAAGGGAUUUUGCCAAAAAAGGAGAGGAAUUUGUCACCUAUUAGAACAUAGUUCGGCUGUACUAUGCAAGCAAUUUAAUAAACUCUUCCUGUAGGAGUAGUGGCAGUUUUUGAAAUUAAAGAAGUAGGGCUGCUUCAUUUGCACUGUUGACUUUGAAUUUCAGUGUUGACACUGAAUUUUCACUGUUGACUUCACUGGAGCCAUGGCUCUUUACCAGAUCCAAAUUCUAAAGUGCCCUUAAAGGAGUGGCUGCAAAUUUAUAAAUCAUAAUCUGAGUCCUCAGCUGACAUGACAACCAGCACCACUCCUGCUUAGGAUCUUGCCCUGCAAACCUGUAACCCCCUGUCUACAGUAGUCACUCAGUAUUCAAUUUGCCCCCAGCUAUUUUUACUGGAAUUUCUGUUAAUAACAAAGAGCAUCUCCUUUCAAAGAAGUGUUUAAAGGCAAAUUAUACUACUGAGUACAUAGUGUUUCAGUGCUUGGGCUUCAAACACUCUGGAACAGGCUGAUUUGUUUAAUAGCUACAGUCCUGACUGGAAUGUUUUUAAACUGUGUAAACAUUCCUACUAGUUUUAUGGGUUGCUAAACUUUUUUCUUUUUUCUUUUUUCUUCUUUCCUUUUUCUUUUUUUUAAUGCUGGUACAAAUUUAACUUGACAGUGUACUUUCCAAGCCUCCAUUAAAUAGGGCCAACUUGCUAUUGAUAGAAAAAUAUCUCUGGAAUAGCUUUAUGAUGCCUUGCAAUAGAAGAUUUUUCAUUAACUCUGCCUAGAAAGAGAAACCCUACCUAACAUGUCUUUGUGAGUUCUUACUGUGCCUUAAUGUCUGUGAGACCCCUGCUGGUUGAAAGGGGAAGAGAUUGGAAAGAAAAACUCCAAGAUAAUUUAAUGGAGAAAGGAAUUUCUUUUCAGUCUGUUGUGUUUGCCAAUCACUGUUACCAUGCAGCCACCAAAGACCUCAGUGCUUUGAAACUUCUCACGUACAGGUUGCAGUUUGUUGGUGCUUUCCUCACAUAAUUGUGUUUUAUCUCUCUUCAAGUGUGUCAGUGCUGUUUUAAAAGAUCGUAUAGAAAUAUUCAGCUACACCAUCUGGUUUCAGUUUUCCUUAAUUUGGUGUCAGCCAAGAUCAAUCUUAUACAGCCUGGAUGAUUAAAAAGGACAGAGUUAAACCUGCUGCAUUUUAGGGAUUUAAGCCUUCCUUUUCCUCCUGUAAAUUUUGACCUUUUCAAAAUGGGCUUCCCCCUCCCCCUUAAGAAAGUGGAACACAAAAUAAAUGUUUGCUACUUUUCCAGAGGAGCCAAAUUCCAUGCAUUCUGGCUGCUUUUCACUGACACAAAAAUUAUUCCAAAAUAAUUUGUCAUUAUUUACAAAAUGACACUAUGUUACUGUAACAAUAACAGCUAACUUGGCCCUUUGAAAGUUAUGUACUUUCUCAAGAAAUUUCAGUCUAAGAGGCAAAACACUGAUCAUGGUGACCUUGGGAAAAUACAGCCUCAAGAAAGUAGUGGAUGUUUGUGAUUAUUUUGAAAUCUCCCGGCUGCAUCAGUUUCCCAUUGAGGCAAUUUGUGCUUGUGUCACACCCCACAGAGUGGUUCUCUUGCUUUCCCUGUCUGCAGCCUGGGUCCUGGAGAGGUAAAAGGAGCAGGGGCAGCUUUAGUCCCCUCUGCUGAUGAGUUUCCCGGGGAAGGAAAAUGUGCUGUGCAUAAAAAAAAUCUAUGUAACUGUUGCCUGAUUGUCUGCCUGGUGAUGGGACUAAGCAGAGUUGGGGUGGGUACCAAUCCAUGCCAUGUAGAUUUGUUUCCUCUGUUCCCGAUAGCAUGACUGAGCCUUGGGAACAGUUAGUGGGAUCAUUGAUGAGCUGCUGAAUUCUUCCUUGUCUACUUUCUUUUGUCUAGGUUGCCUCAAAUUAUCACUGAAUUUUAUUGUUUUUAUACACACACAACUUUUAAAUCCACACAGAUGGCACUUUUGGUCAAAAUGCAUUACACACUUCUCAGACUUCGCAGCUGGUUGAGCACCAAUGAAGGAAAUACAUUUGGUAACUGAGUUGGGAAAGAAAGGUGCUUGGAGAUGCAGUUUCUAAUGCUUUCUUUUAGAUAUUCCCAUCAGACCAUACAAAGAACUCUUCCUGACUAUAUUAAGAAAGAAACAGGAGAAUAUAAUUUAUUUUUUUUUAAGAAAUCUUUUAAAAUUAAAACGUUUGGGAGCUUGAUUAAAUGUUCUGUGAGAAAAAUGUGCAGUUCACUUACAGCUAUUGACUUGAGGUUUAUACAGUAUUGCCAAGUGCUGGAACGAAUAAAGCUUUAAUAUUGGA
Molecule: non-coding RNA, 17078 nt
Organism: Cyanistes caeruleus (blue tit)
Lineage: Eukaryota; Metazoa; Chordata; Aves; Passeriformes; Paridae
Source: RefSeq, a predicted model, not a curated record